AUGAAGGGGUUUCAACAGAAGAACAUUGGGUGCCACCACCUCGGAAGCCGUGGUUACGGCGGGAAGAGGUCCAUAUGGGCCAAGGAGGACGCGGAAGCCGCGAGUCUGGGCAUCCCAGACCCCUUGGCGGAGUUCACCGUCCCGCAGGAGCGUGACGUCCUCAGGGCCCGGCACCGUUGGGACCCAGUGAAGAAGGUUUUCGAGAAGAACGCGGUCACGUCGGAGUUCAUUAGACUACUGAGAGAGCGGCACAAGAUUGCGAACGAAAGCGACUCGCCGUCUGAGGCGUUGGCGAGGCCCAAGUGGGACACUCCAUUCAACCGGACGUUGAACAUAUUGAAAGGACUCCCGGUGGAGACUCGGCCGUCGUAUGGACGCAUGCACGGUGUCGGAGACGGCGCCACGUGGAAGAAGUACUACCGUGAGACCACAGAGGAGAGAAAGGAAAGACGGAGGUUAACUGAAGAAAACAUCGACAAGAAGGUUGAGAUUACGGUUGAAAAAAAAUCAUCUGAGACAGUCGCAACAGCGGUAGCUGCCGCAAAACAGGUGCUUGUAGAUAUGUCUACUACCUUGGUUCCGACCGUUUUCAAUUGGAGCAGGCAAAAUCCAGAAGAAAAAAUGCAGCGGACUUUCCCCUUGCUGACUUCCUCAGGAGCUGCUUGA
Molecule: ribosomal RNA, 666 nt
Filed under: Triticum aestivum (bread wheat)
Lineage: Eukaryota; Viridiplantae; Streptophyta; Magnoliopsida; Poales; Poaceae
Description: partial small subunit ribosomal RNA
Source: RNAcentral